This is a small nuclear RNA of Callithrix jacchus (white-tufted-ear marmoset), 62 nucleotides long. Its record names the gene U7. It matches the Rfam family "U7 small nuclear RNA". From Rfam's summary of the family: Animal histone pre-mRNAs are spliced by a different mechanism than nuclear pre-mRNAs and self-splicing introns. This processing involves the U7 snRNP, which contains only one RNA species: U7. The 5' end of U7 RNA is thought to base-pair to a conserved spacer element downstream of the cleavage site in histone pre-mRNA. Lineage: Eukaryota; Metazoa; Chordata; Mammalia; Primates; Cebidae. The record is from Ensembl.
AAGUAGUACAGUUCUUUUAGAAUUUGUCUAGCAGAUUCUCCGUUUUUUACUAGAAAAUCCCC